Molecule: ribosomal RNA, 291 nt
Filed under: Triticum aestivum (bread wheat)
Lineage: Eukaryota; Viridiplantae; Streptophyta; Magnoliopsida; Poales; Poaceae
Description: partial small subunit ribosomal RNA
Source: RNAcentral
AUGGUGGUGCGCAAGCCGCCGCCGAGGAACCGGGACCGGCACACCAAGGUCGAGGGCCGCGGCCGCCGGAUCCGCAUGCCGGCCGCCUUACUUCGCCGGAUCUUCCAGCUCACCCGCGAGCUAGGGCACAAGUCGGACGGCGAGACCGUGCGCUGGCUGCUGCAGCAGUCCGAGCCGGCCAUCGUCGCCGCCACCGGCACCGGCACCGUGCCCGCCAUCGCCACCACCGUCGACGGCGUGCUCUGGAUCCCCACCCAGUCCGCCUCCUCCGCCGUCUUACAUGCAAAGUAA